Molecule: ribosomal RNA, 771 nt
Filed under: Bacillus sp. (in: firmicutes)
Lineage: Bacteria; Bacillati; Bacillota; Bacilli; Caryophanales; Bacillaceae
Description: bacterial SSU rRNA
Rfam family: Bacterial small subunit ribosomal RNA
Source: RNAcentral
AGAUGGGAGCUUGCUCCCUGAUGUUAGCGGCGGACGGGUGAGUAACACGUGGGUAACCUGCCUGUAAGACUGGGAUAACUCCGGGAAACCGGGGCUAAUACCGGAUGCUUGUUUGAACCGCAUGGUUCAAACAUAAAAGGUGGCUUCGGCUACCACUUACAGAUGGACCCGCGGCGCAUUAGCUAGUUGGUGAGGUAAUGGCUCACCAAGGCAACGAUGCGUAGCCGACCUGAGAGGGUGAUCGGCCACACUGGGACUGAGACACGGCCCAGACUCCUACGGGAGGCAGCAGUAGGGAAUCUUCCGCAAUGGACGAAAGUCUGACGGAGCAACGCCGCGUGAGUGAUGAAGGUUUUCGGAUCGUAAAGCUCUGUUGUUAGGGAAGAACAAGUACCGUUCGAAUAGGGCGGUACCUUGACGGUACCUAACCAGAAAGCCACGGCUAACUACGUGCCAGCAGCCGCGGUAAUACGUAGGUGGCAAGCGUUGUCCGGAAUUAUUGGGCGUAAAGGGCUCGCAGGCGGUUCCUUAAGUCUGAUGUGAAAGCCCCCGGCUCAACCGGGGAGGGUCAUUGGAAACUGGGGAACUUGAGUGCAGAAGAGGAGAGUGGAAUUCCACGUGUAGCGGUGAAAUGCGUAGAGAUGUGGAGGAACACCAGUGGCGAAGGCGACUCUCUGGUCUGUAACUGACGCUGAGGAGCGAAAGCGUGGGGAGCGAACAGGAUUAGAUACCCUGGUAGUCCACGCCGUAAACGAUGAGUGCUAAGUGUUA